This 570-nucleotide ribosomal RNA is filed under the name uncultured archaeon. Its description in RNAcentral is "bacterial SSU rRNA". It matches the Rfam family "Archaeal small subunit ribosomal RNA", at positions 285 to 856 of the family's 1478-position model. The record is from RNAcentral.
GGAGCCGGGAGAUGGACACUGAGACAAAGGUCCAGGCUCUACGGAGUGCAGCAGUCGCGAAACCUUCGCAAUGCGCGCAAGCGUGACGAGGGAACCCCAAGUGCGCAUAUACAAUAUGUGCUUUUUUUAAGUCUAAAACACUUGGAGAAUAAGGGCUGGGUAAGACUGGUGCCAGCCUCCGCGGUAACACCAGCAGCUCAAGUGGUGAUCGCGUUUACUGGGUUUAAAGCGUGCGUAGUCGGUUCAGCAAGUCUUCUGUGAAAUCCUCAGGCUUAACUUGAGGGAUUGCAGAGGAUACUACUGGGCUCGAGACCGGGUAAGGAGUGAGGUAUUCUGGGGGUAGCGGUGAAAUGCUAUAAUCCCUGGAGGACCACCCGUAGCGAAGGCGUCACUCUGGAACGGGUCUGACGACGAGGUACGAGAGCUAGGGGAGCGAACAGGAUUAGAUACCCUGGUAGUCCUAGCCGUAAACGAUGCAGAUUUAGUGUUCCUCAAACCUCGUGUUCGAGGAGCGCUGAAGGGAAACCGUUAAAUCUGCCACCUGGGGAGUACGGUCGCAAGGCUGAAACU